RNAcentral lists this transfer RNA (72 nucleotides) under Marmota monax (woodchuck). It matches the Rfam family "tRNA". From Rfam's summary of the family: Transfer RNA (tRNA) molecules are approximately 80 nucleotides in length. Their secondary structure includes four short double-helical elements and three loops (D, anti-codon, and T loops). Lineage: Eukaryota; Metazoa; Chordata; Mammalia; Rodentia; Sciuridae. The record is from Rfam by way of RNAcentral.
UGGGUUGUGGCUCAGAGGUAGAGCACUUGCCUAGCAUGCAUGAGGCACUGAAUUUGAUCCUCAGCACCUUUA